CGAGUGGCGGACGGGUGAGUAAUGUCUGGGAAACUGCCCGAUGGAGGGGGAUAACUACUGGAAACGGUAGCUAAUACCGCAUAACGUCGCAAGACCAAAGAGGGGGACCUUCGGGCCUCUUGCCAUCGGAUGUGCCCAGAUGGGAUUAGCUAGUAGGUGGGGUAACGGCUCACCUAGGCGACGAUCCCUAGCUGGUCUGAGAGGGUGACCAGCCACACUGGAACUGAGACACGGUCCAG
RNAcentral lists this ribosomal RNA (239 nucleotides) under uncultured bacterium. Its description in RNAcentral is "partial 16S ribosomal RNA". It matches the Rfam family "Bacterial small subunit ribosomal RNA", at positions 92 to 334 of the family's 1533-position model. The record is from RNAcentral.